Molecule: ribosomal RNA, 867 nt
Filed under: Gomphus clavatus
Lineage: Eukaryota; Fungi; Basidiomycota; Agaricomycetes; Gomphales; Gomphaceae
Description: partial large subunit ribosomal RNA
Rfam family: Eukaryotic large subunit ribosomal RNA
Source: RNAcentral
CGGCGAGUGAAGCGGGAAGAGCUCAAAUUUGAAAUCUGGCGGCCUUUGGUCGUCCGAGUUGUAGUCUGGAGAAGCGUCUUCCGCGCCGGACCGUGUACAAGUCCCUUGGAACGGGGCGUCAUAGAGGGUGAGAAUCCCGUCUUUGACACGGACCGCCGGUGCUUUGUGAUGCGCUCUCAAAGAGUCGAGUUGUUUGGGAAUGCAGCUCAAAACGGGUGGUAAAUUCCAUCUAAAGCUAAAUAUUGGCGAAAGACCGAUAGCGAACAAGUACCGUGAGGGAAAGAUGAAAAGCACUUUGGAAAGAGAGUUAAACAGUACGUGAAAUUGUUGAAAGGGAAACGCUUGAAGUCAGUCGCGUCUCUUGGGACUCAGCCUUGCUUUUGCCUGGCGUACUUCCUGAGGUGACGGGCCAGCAUCGAUUUUGACCGUCGGAGAAAGGCCUUGGGAAUGUGGCACCUCCGGGUGUGUUAUAGCCCUGGGUCGCAUGCGACGGUUGGGAUCGAGGACCGCAGCACGCCUUUUUGGCCGGGGUUCGCCCACGUAACGUGCUUAGGAUGCUGGCGUAAUGGCUUUAAGCGACCCGUCUUGAAACACGGACCAAGGAGUCUAACAUGCCCGCGAGUGUUUGGGUGGAAAACCCGGACGCGUAAUGAAAGUGAAAUGUUGGGACCUCUGUCGCGGAGGGCACCGACGCCCGGACCAGACCUUCUGUGACGGCUCCGAGGUAGAGCGUGCAUGCUGGGACCCGAAAGAUGGUGAACUAUGCCUGAGUAGGGUGAAGCCAGAGGAAACUCUGGUGGAGGCUCGUAGCGAUUCUGACGUGCAAAUCGAUCGUCGAACUUGGGUAUAGGGGCGAAAGACUAAUCG